Molecule: unclassified non-coding RNA, 2416 nt
Filed under: Hevea brasiliensis (rubber tree)
Lineage: Eukaryota; Viridiplantae; Streptophyta; Magnoliopsida; Malpighiales; Euphorbiaceae
Source: RNAcentral
GUGAAAUUGAGGAUUCUUAUUACUAGGAAAAUUUAGAUUCACAUAUGGAUCUCAUACAAAAUUUAUGAAAACUAGAAUAAUGCUAGAUUGCCUAUGAUACAUAAAAUUAAAAUACAGGGGAUCUCUCUUUCCAAUCUGCUAAGCACUUGAUCAAAACCUCCCCAAGUUUCCCUUCAUUGAUAGCCUCGUGGACUUUCUCUAUAUCCUCUCCUGGGCUCACUUUCUUUUCCCCACUAAGAAGCUCAGUCCCCACUUCACUUCUGACAAACUCAUAUAUCGGAUAAGUCCUGCAUUUCUUGAUCCUGUUUGCUAUAGCAAAUUCCCCACCAUCAAAUCUCCCUCUCGCUUUUGACACUUCUUCUUCCAGUCUUGCCUUCAAUUCCUCCAUAAAAACUGGUAUUCGCUUGAAUAUUGUGUAGCCAUUUUCAUCAGCACGUUCAGAUUUAGGAUCUUUAAGUGCUUUCUUGACGAGUACCUCUUGGAGUUUAGGCAGAAGUGCAUAAGAAGGAUUUGUUGGGUCAUCGAGAUAGGAGAAUACAGGUUGAUGCUCAACAACCUGCAAGAGCUCUUUCUCGCAGAAACGCGAUUCGAGCAGCAUUCCAUCUUCAGAAAUAUAUAGGGUUUUCCUUACCGCCUGGCGGAGCACUUGUUUCACAACUUCCCUCAUGUUCUCCUCCAAAUGCCUUAGAUCAAUUGCCUGGCAAAGUGCCACCAUGAAAGUCGCGGACAUAAGCUUCAGGAUUUCAAUGGCUUCAGCGCUUUUUCUUGCCGAAAUCAAGCCUAGAGAGUUCACAUCUUGAUUGUGCUGUUCAGCACUUUGAACAUGAGUAGUUACAGGAUUUGCCAAGUACUGAAGCUCUGAGCAAUAUGCGGCCAUCGCUAUUUCUGCACCUUUUAAUCCAUAGUCCAAGCUUGGAUUAGGUCCUCCGCUCAAAUUGGAAGGCAACCCAUUGUUGUAGUAGUCGCAAACGAGUUCAGAGAACUGAGCAAACAUGAGCUUUCCAAUUGCUGCAAUGGCGAUCCUGAGAUUGUCCAUAGAAACACCAAUUGGUGUUCCUUGGAAAUUUCCUCCAUGAAGGGCAAGGUCUCGAGCUACAUCAAUCAAUGGAUUAUCGUUGACAGAAUUGAUCUCCCUCUCAAUUGAAUGAGUGGCUGCCCGAAUAACCUCAAUUUGUGGACCCAGCCACUGUGGAGAGGUUCUAAUUGCAUAUCUGUCCUGUUUAGGCUUUGUAAGCGGGUCUUUCUCAUGGCGAAUUUUUGCUUCUUUCAUGCAGUCACUUUCAUCUUACAGGUGUUUCAUGAUAGCGGCUGCUUCAAUCUGGCCUGGAUGGUGCUUAAGCUCAUGAGUAAGUGGGUCUGUGUACGCUGGCUUUCCAUGCAUGACCUCACAGAACAAAGCAGAGAGAAUUUCUGCUAGCAGAGCCAAAAUAUUGGCAUCAAAACAAACAGUUGCAGCUACAGCUGAGCCAACCGCUGUUCCAUUCACAAGAGCCAAACCUUCCUUCGCUUGUAGCUCGAAUGGAGCCUCAAUUCCUGCUCUCUUCAAAGCUUCAAUAGCUGUAAUCACUUCCCCUUGAGGGGUUUCUACCUUGGAAUUGUGACGGCCAGUUAACAAACCAGCAAUAUAAGACAAUGGCACAAGAUCGCCUGAAGCUGUGAUAGUCCCUCUCAGAGGCAGCUUAGGGAUCAAAUUUUCAUUCAUAAGCUUGGCAAUAGAUUCAAGAAUCUCCCACCGUAUACCAGAAUAACCUUGCAUUAGUGUGUUGGUACGGACGAGCAUAGCUGCCUUGGAAUAACUGGUCGGAAGAUUCUCCUUGCCAAUGACCCCAGCAUUGAGGAACCGAAUGAGCUCUGUCUGAAGGUCACCAGUUUUACUGGUACGCCUAUGAGAAGUGGCACCAAAGCCGGUGGUAACACCAUAAGUGUCAGUCCCACGAGAGAUGUUCACUGCAACCCAAUCGGCGCUCUUUGCCACUCGGCCACGAGCAGCAUCCUCGUCAAGGCAAACAUUUACUUCGACCCGACGAGCAACAGCAGUGACCUGAGCAACAGUGAGGGUGGUACCUUGGAUUUCAACUGUUUUGGCAUUGGCAAAUUGGGACACCAUUUGAGAGACUUCAUCAAAAUGGGCACAUUGGAGAGACUCUGCAGCCUUCUUCCAAUGUGGUGGGCAAGGCACACAAGGAUUGCAAAAGGGGUGAUUUUCACUAUCAAAAACAGAGGCAAUUCCGUUUGUAGCCAUUGGCACAACAAGAGAAAAUGGAGUUUUUCUGGGUAUUGAGAGUAUUGGGUGUUUGAUAAUUGUUUAGUUUGUGAGGAUUGAGAUUGAGAGGAAGCUUGGAGUGCCUGUGUAUUUAUAGUAGCGAUAAUGAGAGAGUGGUAAGUGGGAAAGGGCUGCGUCCAUGGUCCAAGUCCG